GGUUGCGAUCAUACCAGCACUAAUGCACCGGAUCCCAUCAGAACUUCGUAGUUAAGCGUGCUUGGGCGAGAGUAGUACUAGGAUGGGUGACCCCCUGGGAAGUCCUCGUGUUGCAACCC
Molecule: ribosomal RNA, 119 nt
Filed under: Helianthus annuus (common sunflower)
Lineage: Eukaryota; Viridiplantae; Streptophyta; Magnoliopsida; Asterales; Asteraceae
Source: RNAcentral